UAAUCAUCUAUCUAUAUAUAUAAAGGGGAGUUUUCUCUCAUCUAUAUAUAUAAAGGGGAGUUUUCUCUCACCUCCUGCUGCCACGUCAUCACGGAGAGUGGGGCUUUUUUUUCGCCACGUCAGCUCCUCUCUUCUCGAAUCAAUUCUGCGAAGCCAAAAACAUCUGGGCUUACGGGCUUAUUUUCUCUAAAUGUUUUUUGUACUAAGCCUAUCUUCAAAUCAAAUGAAGUCCAUAUGCAGAGUCUGAGUGUUUAUUAUUUUUGUAAACUCAGCUGCAUCAAACAGCCCUAAUCGUCGUCUAAGUUAUUUAUCUCUUCAUAUCACCUGAGAACAAAAACUAAAAACGUUACUGAAUCAGUCUGGAUCAAGAGUCUUCUUUGCGAUGAUUAUAUCUUUAAAUUGUGUAUCAGCUUCCGCUGAGAAAAUCUGGUGUCGACCAAAAGCUGGUUCUCUGACUCAACAUUGAAAAGCUGACAAAUCAAGUAAGCUGGUUAGAAGUUUCUCCAUCGAUUUUCAAGCUCUCAGUGGAUUGGAUUUCUGCAGGUUAGGAUUCAAAAUCAUAUCAAAAAGUAGACAAACAGUUUUGUUGUAAUCAAUCUAAUUGUGUUCUGUAUAUCAUUCACAGAGACAAUAAAAGACUCUGGCCCCGGAUUACAAUCCGCACAUACCAAUUGGAGACGAUUAUUUAUGGAAGCACUUAAGAACCAUACCAAACAUCAAUGUGUAUUAUCAAACAGGUUUUGGAACAGCAGCUCCGAAGCUGGUCAUCAGUGAAGAAGAAUAUGAUCGAAUCAAACAAGCCUUAUUCAUUUACCUAAGAAACUGUUAACAAAGGAGGCCCUAACAGAUUGAUCCAAGAGAUCAGCACUAGAGAAAACGAUGAGAAUGCAAAUCGUAACAUCGCCAAUAUGGAGAAGAUCCACGGUAAGGAAAUAGAGAAACCAGUCGUGAGUCACGUAGUUGCUCUAUGCAGUGGUGCUGUCGGUGUUGAUGCUACUGCUUUGUCACUUCAGAAAAGCAUGUACUCAACCAGUCGUGUCACGUAGUCACGUAGUUGCACUCUUCAGAAAAGCAUGUACUCAAUUAUACCUCUCUCUUAACUGCUCCAUUGCUCAGCAACUACAACACAUUGGAUCUCCUCGGAGACCCUAUUCUGUGGACACCGUUCCUUCCACCAGAAUCUUCUUAUACUUCAGAGGUGACAAAGACAGAGACGAGCUGUUCCACAUAUAGCUACCUUCCACAGGAGAAGUGAGCUAUUCCCUUUAGAUGUUGAUGAUUCUCCUUAUCGUGAGAUGGAUUGUCAGUGAAACUGCUGAAGUCGAACCAACUCCAUAAGAUACAAAGAUGGACCAAGGAGAGGAAUAAACUGCAGAAAACAAAGAAGUUUCAAUAUUAUGGCUGAGGGCCUUGAGAACAAUAAUGUUACUUUUGAGGAGGUAGACUAUAUGCAGUUUUGGUAUUCAUUUUGUA
Molecule: long non-coding RNA, 1473 nt
Organism: Brassica rapa (field mustard)
Lineage: Eukaryota; Viridiplantae; Streptophyta; Magnoliopsida; Brassicales; Brassicaceae
Source: RefSeq, a predicted model, not a curated record